This is a non-coding RNA of Sus scrofa (pig), 3061 nucleotides long. The record is from RefSeq and is a predicted model, not a curated record. Lineage: Eukaryota; Metazoa; Chordata; Mammalia; Artiodactyla; Suidae.
CUUGGAGUAAGGUGGACCUAGAUUCAGUGUUUCUGAAAACCUCGGGACCUUAGGCAAGUUACUUAAAUCUCUGAGCCUCAGUUUCUUCACCUGCAAAACGGCAAUAGUAAUUGUCCACUUCCUGUGGUUGCUGAGGCUAAAAUGAGUGAGGCGCAGAUUACACGCCCCCAGUAAACGGUACUGCCCUUGAUUGUGCGAAGAUUCGCCCUACUCCCCUUAGAGUCAGCUGUCUCCCUGGCUUGACGAAGGAGCUACCGGAGACCACCAAGAGGCACCCCAGGUAGACAGGUGCCCUGCUAACCUUCCUGUAAAUUAGGCUCCCUGUCAGGAGCAAAGGCUUCGGAACUGACUACGUCUGAUUUUAACUUCUUGGGGUCGACAUGGUUGCUACUCACUGUCAUCAUCUGGGACUUUGCUUGAAAUGCAAAACCUCAGGCCCAACCCCAGGAGGCUUCUAAGAAGAAUCCGUAGGUGGUUCAGUCGGUUGUAUGUCAAAGUUUCAAAAUGAGUUCGACCUUUUGGAAAAUUUGAGAAGGGGGCUAGAAAGUUAUUGUGCUGCUCAGUGGCCACAUAAUACCUUAGGGUAUUUUUAAAAUAGACUACCAAAGCCCUUCCUCAUUUUACACUCUGGCUGUUCUGUCCCUUCCUCUCUCCUCCUUCUCCUGCUCUUUCACUAUAAAUCUGGAUCGAGGUCCUCUUUUCACUUGCAAAAUCCUCUAGGUUACUUGUAAGUAAUGAUUAGUGAAGUUGGUCUAAAACACACAGAAGAAUUAGCAAAUAUGGCUUGUAAAAGAAUUCAUUAACAUUCAAAAGGGACUUAAAAUAUUAAGGCAGUGGUGAGCUCCGGGCUCUCAUCUGUGAAGGUCUUUAGGUUAAAGGCUUGAAUACCUUUGCAAGUCAGAAAAAUUCUUCUCUUAGUUAAACAUUGUUGUGGGUGGCAAAGAAGCCCCACUUUACAUUUAAAUAAUGUAGGACAACUAGUUCCUUUAAAAAGUUUUGAAGAAUAGAAAAAAACUUCACAGGCUUUCUUCCUUCUAAGUCACUAGUUAUAGGGGCUCUAGCAAAGCCCAAAGCAAUUGUUUUAUUUUAUUUUUUUUGUUUGUUUGUUUAUUGUCUUUUUAGGGCCAUACCUGCAGCAUGUGGAAGUUCCCAGGCUAGGAGUCGAAUCAGCGCUUCAACCUACACUGUGGCUCAUGGCAACACUGGAUUAACUAGUAUGGAUACUAGUCGGGUUCAUUAUCCCUGAGCCACAACGGGAACUCCCCCAAAGCAUUUCUUUUAGGUCACUGAAUGCUGUGUGUUUGCGUUGUUCAGAUUAGGUUCGGCCGAUCCUAUCUCUGGCAGAAUGAUUUUCAUCUUUUGAGAGGUGAGUUAAUUGUGGAUUGUUGAUGCUCGUGCUGAUAGUGCCUGAUAAAGAAGGUUACUCCCAUCUGCCUUUCCCUUGCCCCCUCCCCCACCCAAGGCUGCUGAACAAGCUGGUACCAUGGGGAGGUAGAACAGGGGAAGAUGGAAUGAGGCGAGGAACCUCCAUUCUCUGAGGCUGGAGGGUCAGAGGAUCUGGGAAGGGGAGGAGAAACCCUCCUGCUUGUCUUGGAACCCAACCAGGGAAGAAGGAGGAAAUGCAACAUUUCUCCCAAACAGCACUAUCCAAAAGAAUUUUCUGCAAUGAUGGAAAUGUUUACACAGUCCAAAAUGGCUAUAAAAAUGUGGCUGUUUACAUUUAAAUUUUAAUUAAAAUUCAGGCUUUUUGUGUGUUUGUUUCUUAGUGCUAGUCUAUUGCAAUAACCACUUUUCAAGUGCCCUGUACUGAUGGGUGGCUAGUAGCUACCAUACUGGACAGCAUAUAAGACAUUUCCUUCAUCAUGGGAAGUUCAAUGGGACAGCAGUGCCUAGAUGCCAGGAUUGGAGUGAGAAGUUCAGAGCUGCUGUGCAGUUUGGGGGCUCUCUGACCCAGCUAGCGCUUCUUCUGAGAACACAUCUGAGAUAAGAUUACAUUUACCUGGACAGUAGGAAAGAGAGAGAAGCUACUGGUUUAUUCAUCCGACCAGAUGUUCAGUAUGACCAGAAAAACGGCUCAUUGCUCUCCCAGCCUAGUGGAGCCAGAUCACAUUGUUGCUGGAAAACUUCUAUGAAGCUAAGAGAUUGUUUUUUCCCUUAUGAAGAGAGAUUAGUGUUUAUCUGUAAGUACAGAUUUAUCACAAUAAGAAAUACGAGUUUGAGCUCUUUGGAGGAGAAUGCCAAUUGAUUAUACAGUGUGCAUUAUUAAUACGUCUUUUGGUUAUAUGAAAACUCAUAUGAAUCCCAUGUAAUCUCAUUUUAAAAGUAUGGGCUUUUGGCCAAGAACAUUAUGAUAAUCUAUUUUGGCAUUAGGCAUCAUCUGGAGAGGGUCUAAGGCAGGAUUAUUGAAUUAGAUUUGGCUGCUUGCUAACAGCACAUUGCAUUUCCCAUCAUCAAUGGAAGUGGAUGGGGGAGAGGAGGGGAAGGUGUCACGCUGGGAGGGUAGGAAUGGGUAAGGAUAAUGAGAACUAGCUCCAAGUUUCCUUCCAGUUAGUUGCUCCUGAUUCUUUAAUUCCAGCUGAGCCAAUUCCAGCCUAACGAAAUAGUCAUCAAGGGCCUUCUGAGUGCCAGGAACUGAGCUGACAGAGUGACCAUGAACAAUUUAGACACCCACUCUGUGCUAACAGAAUCUGGAGACAGUAAAUAGGAGGUGAACACGACUUGGCAAGACCAGGUGGUGACAUCAGCCAGCCCUUGGCUGUCCUCUGGAAAUGUCAGUUUGGCACAAGAAUUAGCCACGUAUAGUGAACAAAGACGUAGCUCUUUCUUGAAUAAAAUAUUUCUAGUCUCAGUUCUAUGGAAUGACCAUUGGAUGCCUUUGAAGUGGCCCCAGGAUUUGAAGUCCCAGUUGCCUUCCCUUGAAUGUUUCUUCAUCUCCUUAUUUGUUUGAGCUCCUUCGCUGUACCUACAUAUUUAUUGUAUUUCUUGUGUGCUAUUGGCCUUUUUAUUUUAUUUUAUUUUUUGUCUUUUUGCCUUUUCUAGGGCUGCUUCCUGUGGCAUAUGG